CCAAACAUUAUCUGGAUUCACUCCACCAGGCUCUUACACGCUUAAGCUCAUAAUCAAGGAUGAAAACAAUGACCAAUUGAGUUGCAUUAGCUUUAACUUUAAAAUACAUUUGGGAAAAUUGGUAUCCGAUAAUUGAUUGCCAGUACAAGCUGUGCAUGCUAUUCUAGUUGCAUACAAUCCAAUGCCGAUCAGAUCUCGAGUUUCUUGCUUAUUGUGUUUUUCUUUCUUUACUUGAUUUUCCCUCGUUUUCUUUUCUUGAUCAGAUGUAUGUGUAACCGUGCAACUCUUUUGUGAAUGUCUAUGUCUGUGUUAUAUGUGUUGUAUCCUACUCUGGAAGGGAAAUCCUGUUCUCCUUUGCUUAAUCGAUAUGCCAUAAGGUUUUUUUGCAAACAAGAA
RNAcentral lists this unclassified non-coding RNA (396 nucleotides) under Hevea brasiliensis (rubber tree). Lineage: Eukaryota; Viridiplantae; Streptophyta; Magnoliopsida; Malpighiales; Euphorbiaceae. The record is from RNAcentral.